AUUGAACGCUGGCGGCAUGCUUUACACAUGCAAGUCGAACGGUAACAGGGAGCUUGCUCCGCUGACGAGUAGCGAACGGGUGAGUAAUGCAUCGGAACGUACCCAGUCGUGGGGGAUAACGUAGCGAAAGUUACGCUAAUACCGCAUACGUCCUGAGGGAGAAAGCGGGGGACCGAAAGGCCUCGCGCGAUUGGAGCGGCCGAUGUCGGAUUAGCUAGUUGGUGGGGUAAAGGCCUACCAAGGCGACGAUCCGUAGCGGGUCUGAGAGGAUGAUCCGCCACACUGGGACUGAGACACGGCCCAGACUCCUACGGGAGGCAGCAGUGGGGAAUUUUGGACAAUGGGGGCAACCCUGAUCCAGCCAUGCCGCGUGAGUGAAGAAGGCCUUCGGGUUGUAAAGCUCUUUCAGACGGAAAGAAAACGCAUCGGUGAAUACCCGAUGUGGAUGACGGUACCGUAAGAAGAAGCACCGGCUAACUACGUG
RNAcentral lists this ribosomal RNA (484 nucleotides) under uncultured bacterium. RNAcentral describes it as "bacterial SSU rRNA". It matches the Rfam family "Bacterial small subunit ribosomal RNA", at positions 29 to 507 of the family's 1533-position model. The record is from RNAcentral.